Caenorhabditis elegans is the source of this 135-nucleotide non-coding RNA. Lineage: Eukaryota; Metazoa; Nematoda; Chromadorea; Rhabditida; Rhabditidae. The record is from Ensembl.
CCCCAAAUGCUCGAGAAAAUUCGAGACUCCGCCCAUUGCAAUGUUGCGGCACACUCCUUCUUUUUUCCAGCACUCUCGCUUGACCAAAUAAUCAAAGAUUUGCACGGACAACAACAAGGUGAAUUAAAGAAAGCA